GCUUAUUGGCUCGCGUUACCUGAGAAGAGAAAGGCAGCAACUCACUUUCUCGGUGUGUGUAUGAAAAAAAAAAUACUCCGUAAUAGAGAACUGCGCCAACCUAAUUUCCGCGUCAGGAGGAGAAUAAAACGACUCGAAGCACAUCACAUCUGUGACGCAGUAGUCCUUUCACAGGAUGGUACCAGGGGAUGCCGGUGCACUGUCUGCCAGUCUGCCUGACGGGAGUAACAGAUGAGAGAGGGAAAAGGGGAGGAGGAAGAAAAAGAGGGCACAGCGCGAUCAUCUGCACAGUCCAAACUAAACAUCCAGCUAAACUAAACUAAAGAGGUAUGAACUCUGUCUUGCGGCUGUCUUGGUGACAAGGAUUAAGUAUUGGGGUCAUGUGUAAAGAGCAUUUCCAUUCCACUGAAUAAAACAAGAGUGUAAAGUCCAAGUAUGUUUUUCCCAUAGCACAUAUACACUACUAUGAUACAGUUUAGGGUUGGUAAGAUUUUAUGUUUCUCACAUAAUGAAAAUAAUAUGUUGAAUUAGUGCUGGUAUUAUACAUUAUGAUAUGCUGAUUUGGUGCUUAAGAAACAUUUCUUCUUAUUAAUAUUGAAAACAGUUGUGCUGCUUAAUAUUAAGAAACUGUGAUAACUUUUAAGGAUUAUUUGAAUCGAAGGUUGAAUAAAAAUUUUAUUGAGUUAAAAUAUGAAAAUAACAAUAUUUCUGAAUGAAAAUAUUAAUGAAAGAAAUAAACAAAUAAAUCUCAAUGACCCGAAUCGUUUGAACAGUUGCAUAGAUAUUUGAUCAUUCCCAAAAUGAUGAUACACAUUAUCACUUUUUCUAGUGCGCUAUAAACCACUCUCGGGCCUUAAAUACUAAGAAUAGAGAAUGGUUUGAAAUUAGAGAUCUAGAGAGUUAGAUAUGGAGCAUCUUGUGCAGAUGCUAUAGCUCUAUCUAGCCACAGAUCUGGUCCUCUGGGAUGUGUCAUUUUCCUGCCCGUUUGACCUUUGACCCCAGUGUGUUUGGCCUGCACUGGGAUGAGAGAUUGAUAAAAACAAACAUGUAGGGAUUUCAAAAUGUAAGAAGUGCUACAUUGUUUUCAUAAAAUGAGAAACUGAAUCACUUAAGUUUUGAUCAGUCUCCCAGUAUCACUGGCAUUUCAUAUUAUGAUGUUUCACAUAAAUGCAUCAAUUAUAACUAACAGCAUUUCUGGUUGCCUCCAGUAUAGCACUGUAGUAAACACCAUUUCAAAUGAAAUGAAAUGAUCCUAAAAAGAUGAGAUGACUCAACAUUGGAACUGACCUUAGAUUAGUAUCAUAUCAUCUUAAUUUGGUUGUUUCCAUUAUGAUCAUGAGAACAAAAUCAUUUGAGAUCAGCUUACCAGACAUGGAACCCAAAAAAACUGGAAAGAAAUACCAUACAAGAAAGUAAUACUAGCAGUAUGCAAUCUAAUUCCCAUUAUUUAAACAGAAUUAGGGGUGUGUAGCAGAAGGCCCAGACUGCUCUCUUCAUUUAUCUGUAGUCUUACAGCAUAUGUUAUAAAUGCUGCAGAGAGGAAAUGUCAAAUCAACAGCCCCCCACACCUUAUCAACAGGAAGUGAAGAAAACUUUUCUGUCACACACCAUGCCUUUGAAUCGCUUCUUUCAGAGAAACACACAUACACACAAACAGCAGAAAUAUAUUCUCUGUGAAGAAGGUACAGAUGAAUGAUUUUUCCACUCUGCCGAUAAUAACUUUUUUCAACCUUUAUAACUGUCACACAAUUCUCCUGUCAUCACCAUCAAGUGCCAUCUUUAUGCAGGUUGUUCAGAAGUCAGUGAAUGAAUGAAUGAGUGAACGAUCAACCAAUGCCAACAUAAAAAUAUAUUUUAAAAUUAUGAAUGAGUUCAUCCAAGGUUCACACUAGAGUUAUGGAAGAGGGCAGAUAUGCUUGGCUUGCUUUCCGUAAUGAAACUAGACAGAAGCUCCAAGUUCCCCACUGGAAAUAACUGUGGAUAAAGAAGAGAGACUUAUUGCAUGGGAAGAAUUUCAAUAAGUAAAAUGGGGUAUUCACAUAUUUAUAUAUUCUUGAAAUUACUAGCAGCAAGAUAAUAAAUAGAGCCAACUUAAAAAACAAAUCUGAAAAAAAAAAAACACAUUAAACUAUAUAUACUGUCUGCACAUACAGAAAAUAUCACUAAGGCAGCUAUGGAAUGUACAUUAGAAACAAAACACAGUGAAACUGGAUUUAAUUCAAACAUGCAUAAUCCAGACCACUGACAUUCAGGUCUACAGACAUUAGUUUGUGCUACAAGGCAAAGAGCUCCUCCCAGAGAGGAUGUGACCCUCUGCAAACAGGAUUCGAGAUGGCAAAUCAAACAAAGAUUAGCAUGCAGAAGUAUUCAUAUCGUCUAAUAUUUCUUAUUGUCAUGGUUUUUCUACAGCAUGUCUCAAUACUUAUAAAAAGAGUUAAAAUUAUGGAGUAAAGUUAGACAUUGGAAGACAUAGGGCACCACUGAGGGAAAUAUAGUGUAAUAUUGGAUGCAAUAUCCAUAAUAAGUAAACUAGACUUGUCAGAAGUCUCAUAAAAUAAGAUUUAUGUUUGUUAAUAAGACUUUAUGAAGUCAAUAAAAUGAAAUAGACAGAGUGAUAAUGGACAUUGCAUUAAAAAAACUCAUGGAAGGGCAAUAACACCAAUCUGUUUAUAUAAGAGAGCUUAUUCAUCAUACGCUACUGUUAUUUGUGAAAUUUGGACAGCAUUCUGAUCUAGUCAUGAUUACAGAUGCACUCCUUUCUGGAAAAGAGAAUAUGCUCUUAUGAGUCAGCUAUAGUACAGUAUGUUAGGAAACCUGGUGUUGUUGUCUUUUUUUCUUCUUUUUUUCAGUUAUGAGCCUGCAGUGCUCUUAGUUCAAGAAUUUUAAUAUUCACUACAAUCUGACAAGGCUCAAAGGAUUACCCCAUCAACUGACAACUGAUGCGUUUACAAGCCACUAAACCCACAGCCAACAUUGUUAACACAAUUAACUUAAGCUUUGAAUUCAAUAAGCUGAUUUAAAAGAUAAAGUUUCUCCUGAGAUGCCAAUCACAGCUCACAACCAUUUACCAUCUAGAGUACAAAUCUAGCCACCUUCAAGUACACAGCAAAGGUAUUUCAGGAUGUGUUAUGUCCCCCAUUCUUUGCUAUGAAUCCUGUAAUUGUUGUCCUUCUUCCUAUCUGUUUUAUGGUGUACUACCAGUGUGCUGCUCUCAGCGUUCAGCUUUUGGCAU
This is a long non-coding RNA of Carassius gibelio (silver crucian carp), 3232 nucleotides long. RefSeq lists it as uncharacterized. The record is from RefSeq and is a predicted model, not a curated record. Lineage: Eukaryota; Metazoa; Chordata; Actinopteri; Cypriniformes; Cyprinidae. The transcript is spliced from 3 exons.